RNAcentral lists this unclassified non-coding RNA (253 nucleotides) under uncultured Pseudomonadaceae bacterium. RNAcentral describes it as "contains 16S-23S intergenic spacer region". It matches the Rfam family "Bacterial small subunit ribosomal RNA", at positions 524 to 776 of the family's 1533-position model. The record is from RNAcentral. Lineage: Bacteria; Pseudomonadati; Pseudomonadota; Gammaproteobacteria; Pseudomonadales; Pseudomonadaceae.
UACAGAGGGUGCAAGCGUUAAUCGGAAUUACUGGGCGUAAAGCGCGCGUAGGAGGUUGGGUAAGUUGGAUGUGAAAGCCCCGGGCUCAACUUGGGAACUGCAUCCAAAACUGGCCAGCUAGAGUACAGUAGAGGGUGGUGGAAUUUCCUGUGUAGCGGUGAAAUGCGUAGAUAUAGUAAGGAACACCAGUGGCGAAGGCGACCACCUGCACUGAUACUGACACUGAGGUGCGAAAGCGUGGGGAGCAAACAGG